This 440-nucleotide ribosomal RNA is filed under the name uncultured bacterium. Its description in RNAcentral is "partial 16S ribosomal RNA". It matches the Rfam family "Bacterial small subunit ribosomal RNA", at positions 338 to 795 of the family's 1533-position model. The record is from RNAcentral.
CCUACGGGCGGCAGCAGUGGGGGAUAUUGCACAAUGGGGGGAACCCUGAUGCAGCGACGCCGCGUGGGUGAAGGAGCGUUUCGGCGCGUAAAGUCCUAUCGGCAGGGAAGAAGAUGACGGUACCUGACCAAGAAGCCCCGGCUAACUACGUGCCAGCAGCCGCGGUAAUACGAAGGGGGCAAGCGUUACCCGGAUUUACUGGGUGUAAAGGGGGCGCAGACGGGAAAGCAAGUCAGGAGUGAAAGCCCGGGGCCGAACCCCGGGACUGCUCUUGGAACUGCAAGUCUGGAGUACAGGAGGGGCAGGCGGAAUUCCUGGUGUAGCGGUGAAAUGCGUAGAGAUUAGGAGGAACACCGGUGGCGAAGGCGACCUGCUGGACUGUGACUGACGUUGAGGCGCGAAGGCGUGGGGAGCAAACAGGAUUAGAUACCCGAGUAGUC